Molecule: ribosomal RNA, 36 nt
Filed under: Lactarius fallax var. concolor
Lineage: Eukaryota; Fungi; Basidiomycota; Agaricomycetes; Russulales; Russulaceae
Description: partial 18S ribosomal RNA
Source: RNAcentral
GGCCUUCCGUAGGUGAACCUGCGGAAGGAUAUUAUU